RNAcentral lists this ribosomal RNA (398 nucleotides) under Staphylococcus cohnii. Its description in RNAcentral is "bacterial SSU rRNA". It matches the Rfam family "Bacterial small subunit ribosomal RNA", at positions 532 to 929 of the family's 1533-position model. Lineage: Bacteria; Bacillati; Bacillota; Bacilli; Caryophanales; Staphylococcaceae. The record is from RNAcentral.
GUGCAAGCGUUAAUCGGAAUUACUGGGCGUAAAGCGCACGCAGGCGGUUUGUUAAGUCAGAUGUGAAAUCCCCGGGCUCAACCUGGGAACUGCAUCUGAUACUGGCAAGCUUGAGUCUCGUAGAGGGGGGUAGAAUUCCAGGUGUAGCGGUGAAAUGCGUAGAGAUCUGGAGGAAUACCGGUGGCGAAGGCGGCCCCCUGGACGAAGACUGACGCUCAGGUGCGAAAGCGUGGGGAGCAAACAGGAUUAGAUACCCUGGUAGUCCACGCCGUAAACGAUGUCGACUUGGAGGUUGUGCCCUUGAGGCGUGGCUUCCGGAGCUAACGCGUUAAGUCGACCGCCUGGGGAGUACGGCCGCAAGGUUAAAACUCAAAUGAAUUGACGGGGGCCCGCACAAG